RNAcentral lists this small RNA (83 nucleotides) under Marmota monax (woodchuck). Lineage: Eukaryota; Metazoa; Chordata; Mammalia; Rodentia; Sciuridae. The record is from RNAcentral.
GUUGGGCAUGGUGGUGCAUGCCUAUAAUCCCAGUGACUUGGGAGACUGAGGUAGGAGGAUCAUAAGUUUGAGACCAGCCUCAG